This 810-nucleotide ribosomal RNA is filed under the name uncultured archaeon. RNAcentral describes it as "bacterial SSU rRNA". It matches the Rfam family "Archaeal small subunit ribosomal RNA", at positions 85 to 878 of the family's 1478-position model. The record is from RNAcentral.
ACUGCUCAGUAACACGUGGCUAACCUACCCUCUGGACGGAAAUAACCCCGGGAAACUGGGGAUAAUGUCCGAUAGGUGAAGAGGCCUGGAAUGGUUUUUCACCCAAAAGACGUUGGGACCAUGCUUUUCAACGUCGCCAAAGGAUGGGGCCGCGACCGAUCAGGCUGUUGGCGAGGUAACGGCUCACCAAACCUAUAACCGGUACGGGCCGCGGGAGCGGGAGCCCGGAGAUGGGCACUUAGACAAGGGCCCAGGCCCUACGGGGCGCAGCAGUCGCGCAAACUCUGCAAUACGCGCAAGCGUGACAGGGCUAUCCCGAGUGCCGUCCGCUGAGGAUGGCUUUUCUCUGGUGUAAUGAGCCGGAGGAAUAAGGAGAGGGCAAGUCUGGUGUCAGCCGCCGCGGUAAUACCAGCUCUCCGAGUGGUAGGGACGAUUAUUGGGCCUGAAGCGUCCGUAGCCGGCUAAGUAAGUUUCCCGUUAAAUCCAGCGAUCUAAUCGUUGGACUGCGGGAAAUACUGCUUGGCUAGGGGGCGAGAGAGGCCAACGGUAUUUCCGGGGUAGGGGUGAAAUCUUAUAAUCCCGGGAGGACCACCAGUGGCGAAGGCUGUUGGCUAGAACGCGCUCGACGGUGAGGGACGAAAGCUGGGGGAGCAAACCGGAUUAGAUACCCGGGUAGUCCCAGCUGUAAACGAUGUAGACUAGGUGUUAGAGCGGCUACGAGCCGCCCUAGUGCCGCAGGAAAGCCAUUAAGUCUACCGCCUGGGGAGUACGGCCGCAAGGCUGAAACUUAAAGGAAUUGGCGGGGGAGCA